This 253-nucleotide ribosomal RNA is filed under the name uncultured bacterium. RNAcentral describes it as "partial 16S ribosomal RNA". It matches the Rfam family "Bacterial small subunit ribosomal RNA", at positions 524 to 776 of the family's 1533-position model. The record is from RNAcentral.
GACGUAGGGCGCAAGCGUUGUCCGGAUUUAUUGGGCGUAAAGAGCUCGUAGGCGGUUUGUUGCGUCGGCCGUGAAAACCUGCAGCUUAACUGUGGGCCUGCGGCCGAUACGGGCAGACUUGAGUUCGGUAGGGGAGACUGGAAUUCCUGGUGUAGCGGUGAAAUGCGCAGAUAUCAGGAGGAACACCGGUGGCGAAGGCGGGUCUCUGGGCAGUAACUGACGCUGAGGAGCGAAAGCGUGGGGAGCGAACAGG